ACCAAUACUAGCCCANAGAUAAAUCUACACCAAACAANUCACACUCAUUNACCAAACAAAACAUUUACCCCUNAUUAAAGUAUAGGAGAUAGAAAUUUNUCANACCGGAGCUAUAGAGUAANGUACCGCAAGGGAAAGAUGAAAGAAUUAAUUANAUAGUAGAACAAAGCAAAGACUAACCCUUUUACCUUUUGCAUAAUGAGCCAACGAGAAACAACUUGACAAAGAGACCUAAAGCCAAGAACCCCGAAACCAGACGAGCUACUUACGAGCAGCUAGCNAGAGCCAAUCCAUCUAUGUAGCAAAAUAGUGGAAAGACUUGUAAGUAGAGGUGAAAAGCCAACCGAGCCUGGUGAUAGCUGGUUGUCCAGAUAAGAAUCUUAGUUCGACUCUAAAUUUANCUACACGCACCCUUNNAAUCCAAAUGUAAAUUUAAUUGUCAGUCUAAAGAGGGACAGCUCUUUAGANCAUAGGAAACAACCUUAUUUAGUGAGUAAUUUCAUUAAGCCUCCAUAGUUGGCCUAAAAGCAGCCAUCAAUUAAAAUAGCGUUCAAGCUUAACCCUAAUUAANCAAACUUAAUUUGAGUAUUUAUAAAGACCUCCUAAUUNUUUUACUGGACUAAUCUAUUACGCAGAUAUAGAUGCAAUAAUGUUGACAUAAGUAACAAGAAAAANUUUUCUCCCUGCAUAAGCUUAUAUCAGUCCGAAUAAUUCGCUGAUAGUUAACAAACCUAUAUCANNUAAUACACCAAACUCAAUUAUUAUUAUGCACAUUGUUAACCCAACACCGGAAUGCANUACAAGGGAAAGAUUGAAAAAAGUAAAAGGAACUCGGCAAACACUAACCCCGCCUGUUUACCAAAAACAUCACCUCUAGCANUUAAUAGUAUUAGAGGCACUGCCUGCCCAGUGACACACGUUAAACGGCCGCGGUAUCCUGACCGUGCAAAGGUAGCAUAAUCAUUUGUUCCUUAAUUAGGGACUUGCAUGAAUGGCCAAACGAGGGUUUGACUGUCUCUUACUUUUAAUCAGUGAAAUUGACCUUCCCGUGAAGAGGCGGGAAUGAAUAAAUAAGACGAGAAGACCCUGUGGAGCUUAAAUUAANCCAGUCCAAACAUCUUCAACACUAAUNNACCCACGGGAACCAACCAAUUUGUCCUUGGACUAUAUAUUUUGGUUGGGGUGACCUCGGAGUAUAACACAACCUCCGAAUGAUCUUAAUUUAGACCAACUCGUCCAAAUUACCACUCAUAUAUUGACCCAANUCUAUUGAUCAACGGAACAAGUUACCCCAGGGAUAACAGCGCAAUCCUACCCAAGAGUCCCUAUCGACAGNUAGGGUUUACGACCUCGAUGUUGGAUCAGGACACCCAAAUGGUGCAACCGCUAUUAAUGGUUCGUUUGUUCAACGAUUAAAGUCCUACGUGAUCUGAGUUCAGACCGGAGUAAUCCAGGUCGGUUUCUAUCUAUUCNNAAANAUUUCUCCCAGUACGAAAGGACAAGAGAAAUAGGGAUAAUUUUUCACACAUACCCUAGGACUAAUAGAUGAUAUAAUCUCAAUCUAAUUGACCAUUUCNACCUCUCACCCUAGAUCAGGGUUU
Molecule: ribosomal RNA, 1601 nt
Filed under: Exilisciurus exilis (least pygmy squirrel)
Lineage: Eukaryota; Metazoa; Chordata; Mammalia; Rodentia; Sciuridae
Description: 16S ribosomal RNA
Rfam family: Bacterial large subunit ribosomal RNA
Source: RNAcentral